UGUAGAAUCCCAUGAACCAUUGAGUCUUUGAAUGCAAGUUUCACCURAAGCCAUUAGCCUGAAGGCGUGUCUUCCUGGGCAUCAUGC
Molecule: ribosomal RNA, 87 nt
Filed under: Mendoncia hoffmannseggiana
Lineage: Eukaryota; Viridiplantae; Streptophyta; Magnoliopsida; Lamiales; Acanthaceae
Description: partial 5.8S ribosomal RNA
Source: RNAcentral